AUUGAACGCUGGCGGCAUGCCUUACACAUGCAAGUCGAACGGCAGCACGGGUGCUUGCACCUGGUGGCGAGUGGCGAACGGGUGAGUAAUACAUCGGAACAUGUCCUGUAGUGGGGGAUAGCCCGGCGAAAGCCGGAUUAAUACCGCAUACGAUCUACGGAUGAAAGCGGGGGACCUUCGGGCCUCGCGCUAUAGGGUUGGCCGAUGGCUGAUUAGCUAGUUGGUGGGGUAAAGGCCUACCAAGGCGACGAUCAGUAGCUGGUCUGAGAGGACGACCAGCCACACUGGGACUGAGACACGGCCCAGACUCCUACGGGAGGCUG
Molecule: ribosomal RNA, 323 nt
Filed under: uncultured Pseudomonadota bacterium
Lineage: Bacteria; Pseudomonadati; Pseudomonadota
Description: bacterial SSU rRNA
Rfam family: Bacterial small subunit ribosomal RNA
Source: RNAcentral